This 253-nucleotide ribosomal RNA is filed under the name uncultured bacterium. RNAcentral's name for it is "partial 16S ribosomal RNA". It matches the Rfam family "Bacterial small subunit ribosomal RNA", at positions 524 to 776 of the family's 1533-position model. The record is from RNAcentral.
AACGUAGGACGCGAGCGUUAUCCGGAGUUACUGGGCGUAAAGCGCGGGCAGGCGGUCUGACAAGUCUGAUGUGAAAUCUCCGGGCUUAACCGGGAGAGGCCAUUGGAAACUGACAGGCUGGAGGGCAGUAGAGGUAGGCGGAAUUCCGGGUGGAGUGGUGAAAUGCGUAGAGAUCCGGAGGAACACCAGAGGCGAAGGCGGCCUACUGGGCUGCACCUGACGCUGAGGCGCGACAGCGUGGGGAGCAAACAGG